Long non-coding RNA from Penaeus monodon (black tiger shrimp), 234 nucleotides. RefSeq lists it as uncharacterized. NCBI's taxonomy places the organism in Eukaryota, Metazoa, Arthropoda, Malacostraca, Decapoda, Penaeidae. The transcript is spliced from 3 exons. The record is from RefSeq and is a predicted model, not a curated record.
GACGUGUGCUCUUCCGAUCACUUAACCAACCAGCAGCGACUAUAGAUCUCACUGGGUCUGGGGCUGCAAUGGAUACGUCAUAGGCUCAAGGGUUUGGCUUAGAGGGAAUAGAGGUGUUUCUUUUUCAUAUUGCAAUAUCUGUCGUCAGUCAUUGUUGUUAUUGAUAAUUUACGCAUCAGAGUGAAUUAAUGAAUGAAAUAUAACAAACCCAUUUUUAGGAAAUAAAGCAAUUUG